UUCUACCUUGGACUUGUCAUGCCGGACACCCCUCAGGACUUGAGAUUUAUCUAUUCCCGGCUCUCUGGAGAGGCAGCACAUACAGCAAAAAGAUGAAGCAGCAUCGAGCCACCUAGAGGCAAUCUUACCCAAGCCUGCCCAGCAAAGCAAAGCAGUGCUGAGAAGGAGCUGGGGCUGACUCCAGGCCUGGAAAGUGCAGGGUGGGAGGAUGUUGAAGAGAUCUAGGCCAGCAUGCAGAGUGAUUCAGCCAGGAAGUCUCAGAGUGUUGCUGUGGGAUUCCCGUCCACCCACAUUCCAUAUGCACUUUGGUACCACCUGAUCGCACUUGUCUACUCUGGCUUAAAUAUCAGUGAGGAUCCUCCAUCCUUCAGCUGGCUGGAAUUUCCAAGACAGUGGCCAUGAUUCCAGGACCCUCCCACUUCUGUCUAUAGGACACCUUCAAUGAGGACUAUAAGACAUGGAGAUGUGGUGGUGUUUACAGAUGACAUGCUGCUAGAUUCAGGGACCACCAGAAAAUUAAAUAUUUUUGCAAGUCAAAACAAUGCUGCUGUGAGUUUCAUAGUUUGCUUGUUCAACACCCAGAUAAAGAGGAUUAUAGAACAUUCUGCUAUAGAUGCAGCACUGGCAAAUGAUAUGGGACAGAAAUGCCCCCUGUAAGUUCUAGUCCCUGACCCACGCUGUAUCAUUACGUGGUCUUGCAAAGUCCCCCUUAACCUCUGCCUGCCUCAUUAAACACGUCUACACAACAGACUUUUACAAUAAUAACUUUAAAGCACGUCUCCCUUAACAAAUCUUGUAAAUGGGAAAAUCCUAUUAUUAUCCA
Molecule: long non-coding RNA, 823 nt
Filed under: Homo sapiens (human)
Lineage: Eukaryota; Metazoa; Chordata; Mammalia; Primates; Hominidae
Description: HSALNT0225248
Source: RNAcentral